Molecule: long non-coding RNA, 519 nt
Filed under: Chinchilla lanigera (long-tailed chinchilla)
Lineage: Eukaryota; Metazoa; Chordata; Mammalia; Rodentia; Chinchillidae
Description: lncRNA (ENSCLAG00000028189.1)
Source: RNAcentral
CUCCCCUCACGGUUGUGACACCCAGCCAAGACGGGGCAGGGAGGGCUCUAUCCCUGUGUGUCACACAAAGCAGAGCCUGGAGGCAGGAAGAUGCCCACCUGCGUGGUGCAGGGACACAUUCAGAGCUCCAUCCUUGCCCCCAGGCACCUGUGGACACAGAGUUUGUACAGCACGGAUGGACUGCUCUCAAGAAAGGUCCCAGAUCUGCAGGGCUGAGGUGAUCAUCCCAGAGGACGUUGCUGCCUCUUCAUCCGGGAGCUGCAAUUUAGCCCUCUUAUGUCUCCCAGAGUCACAGAUUCUGUCCCUGAAUGCUGAGAGUGAGAGCGAGACUGCCAUCUGGUCUUCCUGAUUUAAGCACAGGCACAGAAUGAGUGCCACACUGAGGCAGUGGCAUGAGAUGUCAGGCAAGGUUCCGAGAGGUGUCCCGUAGGGUGUCACCCAAUGCUUGACCUCAUUACGAUCAGCCUCCAACAAGGACUAGAGGUAAGAAGAGGCCUCAGCUCACUGAGCAGGAGACAG